AGAUGCCAAAGUUUCCAUUGGAAAACCUGCACUUGCCGGGGACCACCAAACAAUUCUUGCAAACCCAGACCCUCUGGGACCAGGGUCGGGUGAUGGGGAGGAGCUGCGAGGAUUAGUUGCUGUUGAAGGGGGCUCCGCCAAUGAAAUCUUCUCUGCGCUCUGAUUUGGCGGUUCUUCGGUGCAAAUAUGACAGCUUUCUCUCUCAGCUCUUUUCUGCAUCUCUCCAUGUCCGACCCCGGAGCCCAGUUCUUGGUCUGCAAUUUUUACACCACAACCUUUGCAGUCACCACCACCACCACCCCUAGGUCCCAUGUCAGCAGGUGCCAGAUUGCUACAAAGGUGACAGGGCACAUUGGGAAGAAGGCUUGUUGAUUGCAGAAGAUACUUAUGCCCCGUGUUUCCAGGUGGGGAAAUGUUAGAAUAAAUGCAAUAUACUUUGUACUAAAUAUAUAGUCAUGGAGAAAUGUUCAGAUUGUUUAUUUCUUUCUUUGAUGGUAACUAAUGUAUUAGAAAGAAUCAGAUAUUUAUUUAUCUGUCUUUGCUGGUUUUUCUUCUUCCCACACAGGUCAAUGCCUGUGUGCUCCAUCAGUUAACGGGGAGUAGUAGUUAGCAGAGAAUAUUAGUGAGGCUUUGGUUGGAGAGGUGGGAUUUUGCUGUCUAUCGAGGAAAAUAAAAGAUGUGAACUUCC
RNAcentral lists this long non-coding RNA (688 nucleotides) under Mus pahari (shrew mouse). RNAcentral's name for it is "lncRNA (MGP_PahariEiJ_G0005002.1)". The record is from RNAcentral. Lineage: Eukaryota; Metazoa; Chordata; Mammalia; Rodentia; Muridae.